Nylanderia fulva is the source of this 459-nucleotide non-coding RNA. Lineage: Eukaryota; Metazoa; Arthropoda; Insecta; Hymenoptera; Formicidae. The record is from RefSeq and is a predicted model, not a curated record.
UUGACAAAUUGGAGAGGAAUUAAUUUUGAAAGUAGAUAUACGUAUAUGCGUUUCAUGAAAAUCAAGUAUUACUAUAAUCUAUAACGUUUAUAAUUUGUUCUUUGAAUAAUUUAUAUAUUGGUUUUGAAUUUGGCUAUAUAUAUAUAUCACUGUUUUGACUAUAUAUAUAUCGCAUCAUGGCGCUUGCAUCGAUGCUUCUACCCUAAGCUGACAAGUAAACAAUAAAUACGUGUACGGUCCAUUGCGAUGAUACCAAAGUGUGACGCAGAGUGUCGAAAUGCGUAUAUCAUCUGUAGUAUUUUAUUAUAUCUGAGAUUUCGUAUUUGAUUAAUAUCAUUGAUAUUUGUGCUUUCAUAACAAGUUUGUUAUAUCACAAAAGAUUAUAUUAAGAGUGUCUGUAUCUAACCCGUUUGAGGAAUCAUAAGUGCCAAAAAUAAAAAUACGAGAGAAGAAAAAAUA